This 285-nucleotide long non-coding RNA is filed under the name Macaca mulatta (Rhesus monkey). RNAcentral's name for it is "lncRNA (ENSMMUG00000049772.1)". The record is from RNAcentral. Lineage: Eukaryota; Metazoa; Chordata; Mammalia; Primates; Cercopithecidae.
CGUGACCUCAUUCAGCAGGAGAGGAUAUCCUGUGCUGCAAAAUGUAAGCUAUGACUGGAUACAACAGGCAGAGACACAAACAAGGCUACUGCUGAAUCUCCUCUGCAGUGGGAGUGGAGUCAGCAUUUCUUCUUGCUGUUGAGCUUCGGGACAGGCAUCUAUCUCUUGCACUCACACAGUUCUUUCGGUUGAACAUCUGCAAGGCGACACAGAUUUGAGGGACUGUCACACUUGACUAGAGCUCACUUGGGUGCUCCUGGAACCUGGAACGAACAAACUCUAAGA